UCCAAUCGUAGUUCGUUUUCCUAAUGUUUCUUUAAGUGUGGGGAUGAAAUGCGUUCGGUUUAGUACUAAUGGCACGGUGCAAUUAAGCAAUGUUACCGGGAAUAAUUCAUGUAUGGCUCGUGGACACGGGCAUUUCUCUAUUGUCGUUCCAUCUCGACCAUCUGAUGAAAUGACGAAAGAGCGCGUUUGGAGGUGGUGGGUGAUUGGAUUUGCAGGAGGAAUUGUGGGAUUGAUCUUGCUUCUUGUGGUUG
RNAcentral lists this long non-coding RNA (251 nucleotides) under Olea europaea (common olive). Its description in RNAcentral is "long non-coding RNA (OEUR_LNC001379)". The record is from RNAcentral. Lineage: Eukaryota; Viridiplantae; Streptophyta; Magnoliopsida; Lamiales; Oleaceae.